GACGAACGCUGGCGGCGUGCCUAAUACAUGCAAGUAGAACGCUGAAGAGAGGAGCUUGCUCUUCUUGGCUGAGUUGCGAACGGGUGAGUAACGCGUAGGUAACCUGCCUUGUAGCGGGGGAUAACUAUUGGAAACGAUAGCUAAUACCGCAUAACAAUGGAUGACACAUGUCAUUUAUUUGAAAGGGGCAAUUGCUCCACUACAAGAUGGACCUGCGUUGUAUUAGCUAGUAGGUGAGGUAAUGGCUCACCUAGGCGACGAUACAUAGCCGACCUGAGAGGGUGAUCGGCCACACUGGGACUGAGACACGGCCCAGACUCCUACGGGAGGCAGCAGUAGGGAAUCUUCGGCAAUGGGGGCAACCCUGACCGAGCAACGCCGCGUGAGUGAAGAAGGUUUUCGGAUCGGAAAGCUCUGUUGUAAGUCAAGAACGGGUGUGAGAGUGGAAAGUUCACACUGUGACGGUAGCUUACCAGAAAGGGACGGCUAACUACGUG
RNAcentral lists this ribosomal RNA (497 nucleotides) under uncultured bacterium. RNAcentral's name for it is "partial 16S ribosomal RNA". It matches the Rfam family "Bacterial small subunit ribosomal RNA", at positions 28 to 507 of the family's 1533-position model. The record is from RNAcentral.